This is a small nuclear RNA of Hyla sarda, 187 nucleotides long. RefSeq annotates it as U2 spliceosomal RNA. The record is from RefSeq and is a predicted model, not a curated record. Lineage: Eukaryota; Metazoa; Chordata; Amphibia; Anura; Hylidae. The transcript has a single exon.
GCCUCUUCUCGGCUUUUUGGCUAAGAUCAAGGGUAGUAUCUGUUCUUAUCAGUUUCAUGCCAUUGGGCCAAACAAACCAGUAUGGAGCUGGUGGGGAUGGGUGCUGCAUGGAGGGGGCAGUUGUGCCGGGGCGUUCCGGGGCUGGUGCCACAUAACCAGCUCAACGGCUGCCCUGAUGUGACCUGUU